UUUCUACUCCCUCCGUCCAAAAAUACUUGUCAUCAAAAUGGAUAAAAAGAGAUGAAUCUAAAACUAGAAUACGUCUAGAUACAUUUCCUUUUAUCCAUUUUGAUGAUAAGUAUUCCGGACGGAGGGAGUAUUUG
This is a non-coding RNA of Triticum aestivum (bread wheat), 134 nucleotides long. Lineage: Eukaryota; Viridiplantae; Streptophyta; Magnoliopsida; Poales; Poaceae. The record is from Rfam.